This 537-nucleotide ribosomal RNA is filed under the name Cupriavidus campinensis. Its description in RNAcentral is "bacterial SSU rRNA". It matches the Rfam family "Bacterial small subunit ribosomal RNA", at positions 119 to 651 of the family's 1533-position model. The record is from RNAcentral. Lineage: Bacteria; Pseudomonadati; Pseudomonadota; Betaproteobacteria; Burkholderiales; Burkholderiaceae.
CGGAACGUGCCCUGUUGUGGGGGAUAACUAGUCGAAAGAUUAGCUAAUACCGCAUACGACCUGAGGGUGAAAGCGGGGGACCGAAAGGCCUCGCGCAAUAGGAGCGGCCGAUGUCUGAUUAGCUAGUUGGUGGGGUAAAAGCUCACCAAGGCGACGAUCAGUAGCUGGUCUGAGAGGACGAUCAGCCACACUGGGACUGAGACACGGCCCAGACUCCUACGGGAGGCAGCAGUGGGGAAUUUUGGACAAUGGGGGCAACCCUGAUCCAGCAAUGCCGCGUGUGUGAAGAAGGCCUUCGGGUUGUAAAGCACUUUUGUCCGGAAAGAAAUGGCCCUGGCUAAUACCCGGGGUCGAUGACGGUACUUUUAAGAAUAAGCACCGGCUAACUACGUGCCAGCAGCCGCGGUAAUACGUAGGGUGCGAGCGUUAAUCGGAAUUACUGGGCGUAAAGCGUGCGCAGGCGGUUUUGUAAGACAGGCGUGAAAUCCCCGGGCUCAACCUGGGAAUUGCGCUUGUGACUGCAAGGCUAGAGUGCGU